GAGUUUGAUCCUGGCUCAGGAUGAACGCUGGCGGCGUGCUUAACACAUGCAAGUCGAACGAUGAAGCCCAGCUUGCUGGGUGGAUUAGUGGCGAACGGGUGAGUAACACGUGAGUAACCUGCCCUUAACUCUGGGAUAAGCCUGGGAAACUGGGUCUAAUACCGGAUAGGAGCGCCUACCGCAUGGUGGGUGUUGGAAAGAUUUAUCGGUUUUGGAUGGACUCGCGGCCUAUCAGCUUGUUGGUGAGGUAAUGGCUCACCAAGGCGACGACGGGUAGCCGGCCUGAGAGGGUGACCGGCCACACUGGGACUGAGACACGGCCCAGACUCCUAUGGGAGGCAGCAGUGGGGAAUAUUGCACAAUGGGCGCAAGCCUGAUGCAGCGACGCCGCGUGAGGGAUGACGGCCUUCGGGUUGUAAACCUCUUUCAGUAGGGAAGAAGCGAAAGUGACGGUACCUGCAGAAGAAGCACCGGCUAACUACGUG
Molecule: ribosomal RNA, 485 nt
Filed under: uncultured Micrococcus sp.
Lineage: Bacteria; Bacillati; Actinomycetota; Actinomycetes; Micrococcales; Micrococcaceae
Description: bacterial SSU rRNA
Rfam family: Bacterial small subunit ribosomal RNA
Source: RNAcentral